AUGGAGACAAGCCUGGAAAAAUCCCAACUCCUGCUUCCUGCCCCUUGUGAGAGCCCCUGUUACCGACACACCUUGCGGGCGAUUUCAGCUGCAGCAUCUCGUCCCUUGACAUCUCCCCCCACCGGACAAACCAACGGAACCACCGCUAACUCCUGCCGGCUUCCCGUCAAACCAUCUGGAAACCUGGAACUUGAUGAGCCAGUUGGCUUCUUUUUCCAGCGGAUGGGUACCCUCGAGUAUGGAUUUCAUCAACGUCCCCGCUGCCGACCUUUUUCCAUCCUCCGAAAUGUACGAUUUACCGCCUCCACUAAACCUUCGCUACUUGGCUUUUUCACUGACUGCAUUAUAAUAAUGUUGGUAUUUGUUAAGCGCUUACUCUGCGCAGAACACUGUCCUAAGCGCCAGGGUGGAUACAGGGUCAUCAGCUUGUCCCCCGUGAGGCUCCCAGUUAAUCCCCAGUUUACAGAGGAGGGAACAGAGGCCCAGCGACUUGCCCACAGUCACCCUGCUGUCAGGUGGCAGAGAAGAAUUCGAACCCAUGACCCAAGCUCUUUCCACAGAGCCACGCUGCUUCUCAUUGGUGUCCAUGGCACCACACUAGAUGCAGCUGAAGGACGAUCUAAUCCCGAAUUGAGCAAGGGCUACCUCCCAAAUCUCACACAUCAUAUUUCUCUGGUGUCCCUGUGUCAUUUUUUUGGUGGCGGGAGGCACCCGCCUCCCCUUCAAAAGGACGCCAUUUUGGCCUGCUGCCCUCCCUGCCAUCUCCUGCUUGGCGUUCGUUUCGACGGAUCGCUCGGUCCUUCCCUCACCGUCACUUUGGACCCCCGCCCCCCCCGAGUCACUUUUUUCGUUAUACAACAGACCGACCCCGGAUUUCGGGGGCUGAGUUUCACGUGUCCAAACCGCCCUGCCCUUCCGUCAGAGCCUCCUGCCCAGGACCUGUCAGAGCAAACUGGUGGGGGGGGGGGGGGGGGGGGAAGACUCGAAAUUCAGACCCUGCGAAAAACCAAACUGAGGAAACGAGGGAUCCGCCGUUUAUUCUCUAAGGAAGUGACGCCCCAAAUUGGAAGGAAAAAAAGGACUGCGGUGCCCGCCCCAUCUCGUUUCCUUCCAGGAGCGUGGCUUUUCCUUUCGUUAUGGCCGCCCCGCCGCCAUCUUAGUUGA
This 1164-nucleotide long non-coding RNA is filed under the name Ornithorhynchus anatinus (platypus). Its description in RNAcentral is "lncRNA (ENSOANG00000049273.1)". Lineage: Eukaryota; Metazoa; Chordata; Mammalia; Monotremata; Ornithorhynchidae. The record is from RNAcentral.